RNAcentral lists this long non-coding RNA (472 nucleotides) under Homo sapiens (human). RNAcentral describes it as "non-protein coding lnc-CLDN1-2:1". The record is from RNAcentral. Lineage: Eukaryota; Metazoa; Chordata; Mammalia; Primates; Hominidae.
CUAAUUUUUGCUUUCUUUCUCAGGCCUCUAUAAAACCAAAAUGUGGGCGCAUGAUCAGCUUCUCAUCUGGAGGAGAGAACCCUCAUGGGGUGAAGGCAGUCACCAAGGGAAAGAGGUGUGCUGUGGCUCUGUGGUUCACCUUGGACCCACUUUAUAGAGAAUUGGAGCGAAUACAGGCUGAUGAAGUGAUUGCAAUUCUGGAUCAAGAACAGCAAGGGAAGCAUGAACUGAAUAUCAACCCUAAAGAUGAGCUAUAAAAAUGAGAAAGAAUGUUCUAUCAAAUAUUUAUUUAAAUUGUUAAUCUUAUGAGAACCUUUUUAUUUUUGUACAGAGCCAUGGUAUAAAUUAACAGGUUAAUGUCAGUCAUCAGAUCUUCCUUCUCUUCCUAAGGAUGCUUGUGUUGCCUCAAUCUAUCAAUCUAUCUUUCUUGUUUUGGGUUGUUUUCUCUCUCUCUCUCUCUCUCUCUCUUCUU